UGUCCAAGCUAUCGUCACAGGCAAGGGCCCACUUGAGAACCUCGCUGACCACAUCGCUGACCCAGUCAACAACAACGCCUGGGCGUUCGCUACCAACUUUUUCCCCGGCAAGUAAUUAAGAUGUCUUGAAGAUUGUGCACGCCACGAAGCGUGUUGUUGUGUAGUCUGAGUUGUACUACCAUGAUGUAUAUUACGAGAAUUUUGUGCAAAAGCAAUGCAAGAUUGUCCGGCUUGGAUGUUAUCACUUGCAUCAAUCUAAUUGUUGUGGUCACAAUACAUGAAAACAGAUACAUAUUUCGACUCGCGCUUAGUGAACCAUUAUCAUUAUUGUUGGGGAACGCAGUAAUUUCAAAAAAAUUCCUACGCACACGCAAGAUCAUGGUGAUGCAUAGCAACGAGAGGGGAGAGUGUUAUCCACGUACCCUCGUAGACCGAAAGCGGAAGCGUUAGCACAACGUGGUUGAUGUAGUCAUACGUCUUCAUGAUCCGACCGAUCAAGUACCGAACGCACGGCACCUCCGAGUUAUGCACACGUUCAACUCAAUGACGUCCCUCGAACUCUGAUCCAGCUGAGUGUUGAGGGAGAAUUUCGUUAGCACGACGGCGUGGUGAUGAUGAUGAUGUUCUACCGACACAGGGCUUCGCCUAAGCACCGCUACGAUAUGAUCGAGGUGGAUUAUGGUGGAGGGUGGCACCGCACACGGCUAAGAGAUCAAGAGAUCAAUUGUUGUGUCUUUGGGGUGCCCCCUGCCGCCGUAUAUAAAGGAGUAGAGGAGGGGGAGGGCCGGCCCUCUCUAUGGCGCGCCCUAGGGGAGUCCUACUCCCACCGGGAGUAGGAUUCCCCCUUUCCUAGUAGAACUAGGAGCCCUUCCAAGUAGUAGGAGUAGGAGGGAAGGAAAGGGAAGGGAAAAGGAGAAGGAAGGAAACGGGCGCCCCCCCCCCUCCCUAGUCCAAUUCGGACCAGCCCAUGGGGAGGGGUGCGGCCACCCUUUAAGGCCUUUCUCUCCUUUCCCGUAUGGCCCAUUAAGGCCCAAUACGAAUUCCCGUAACUCCCUGGUACUCCCGAAAAUACCUAAAUCACUCGGAACCUUUCCGGUGUCCGAAUAUAGUCGUCCAAUAUAUCGAUCUUUACGUCUCGACCAUUUCGAGACUCCUCGUCAUGUACCCGAUCUCAUCCGAGACUCCGAACUCCUUCGGUACAUCAAAAUACAUAAACUCAUAAUAUAACCGUCAUCGAACUUUAAGCGUGCGGACCCUACGGGUUCGAGAACUAUGUAGACAUGACCGAGACACGUCUCCGGUCAAUAACCAAUAGCGGAACCUGAAUGCUCAUAUUUGCUCCUACAUAUUCUACGAAGAUUUUUAUCGGUUAAACCGCAUAACAACAUAUGUUGUUCCCUUUGUCAUCGGUAUGUUACUUGCCCGAGAUUCGAUCGUCGGUAUCUCAAUACCUUGUUCAAUCUCAUUACUGGCAAGUCUCUUUACUCAUUCCGUAAUACAUUAUCCCACAACUAACUCAUUAGUUGCAAUUCUUGCAAGGCUUAAGUGAUGUGCAUUACCGAGAGGGCCUAGAGAUACCUCUCCGACAAUCGGAGUGACAAAUCCUAAUCUCGAAAUAUGCCAACCCAACAAGUACCUUCGGAGACACCUGUAGAGCACCUUUAUAAUCACCCAGUUACGUUGUGACGUUUGGUAGCACACAAAGUGUUCCUCUGGUAAACGGGAGUUGCAUAAUCUCAUAGUCAUAGGAACAUGUAUAAGUCAUGAAGAAAGCAAUAGCAACAAACUAAACGAUCAAGUGCUAUGCUAAUGGAAUGGGUCAAGUCAAUCACAUCAUUCUCCUAAUGAUGUAAUCCCGUUAAUCAAAUGACAACUCAUGUCUAUGGUUAGGAAACAUAACCAUCUUUGAUCAACGAGCUAGUCAAGUAGAGGCAUACUAGUGACACUCUGUUUGUCUAUGUAUUCACACAUGUAUUAUGUUUCUGGUUAAUACAAUUCUAGCAUGAAUAAUAAACAUUUAUCAUGAUAUAAGGAAAUAAAUAAUAACUUUAUUAUUGCCUCUAGGGCAUAUUUCCUUCAGUCUCCCACUUGCACUAGAGUCAAUAAUCUAGUUCACAUCGCCAUGUGAUUUAAUACCAAUAGUUCACAUCACCAUGUGAUUAACACCCAUAGUUCACAUCGACAUGUGACCAACACCCAAAGGGUUUACUAGAGUCAAUAAUCUAGUUCACAUCGCUAUGUGAUUAACACCCAAAGAGUAUUGAGGUGUGAUCAUGUUUUGCUUGUGAGAGAAGUUUAGUCAACGGGUCUGCCACAUUCAGAUCCGUAAGUAUUUUGCAAAUUUCUAUGUCAACAAUGCUCUUCACAGAGCUACUCUAGCUAAUUUGUCCCACUUUCAAUAUGUAUCCAGAUUGAGAUUUAGAGUCAUCUGGAUCAGUGUCAAAAUUUGCAUCGACGUAACCCUUUACGACGAACCUUUUGUCACUUCCAUAAUCGAGAAACAUAUCCUUAUUCCACUAAGGAUAAUUUUGACCAAUGUCCAGUGAUCUACUCCUAGAUCACUAUUGUACUCCUUUGCCAAACUCAGGGCAGGGUAUACAAUAGGUCUGGUACACAGCAUGGCAUACUUUAUAGAACCUAUGGCUGAGCCAUAGGGAAUGACUUUCAUUCUCUCUCUAUCUUCUGUCGUGGUCGGUUUUUGAGUCUUACUCAACAUCACACCUUGUAACACAGGCAAGAACUCCUUCUUUGACUGUUCCAUUUUGAACUACUUCAAAAUCUUGUCAAGGUAUGUACUCAUUGAAAAACUUAUCAAGCGUCUUGAUCUAUCUCUAUAGAUCUUGAUGCUCAAUAUGUAAGCAGCUUCACCGAGGUCUUUCUUUGAAAAAACUCCUUUCAAACAUUCCUUUAUGCUUUGCAGAAUAAUUUUACAUCAUCUCCAAUCAACAAUAUGUCAUACAUAUACUUAUCAGAAAUAUUGUAGUGCUCCCACUCACUUUCUUGUAAAUAUAGGCUUCACCGCAAGUCUGUAUAAAAAUAUAUGCUUUGAUCAACUUAUCAAAGCGUAUAUUCCAAUUCCGAGAUGCUUGCACCAGUCCAUAGAUGGAUCGCUGGAGCUUGCAUAUUUUGUUAGUACCUUUAGGAUCGACAAAACUUUCUGGUUGUAUCAUAUACAACUCUUCUUUAAUAAAUCCUAAGGAAUGUAGUUUUGUUUAUCCAUUUGCCAGAUUUCAUAAAAUGCGACAAUAGCUAACAUGAUUCGGACAGACUUAAGCAUAGAUACGAGUGAGAAAUUCUCAUCGUUGUCAACACCUUAAACUUGUCGAAAACCUUUUUGCGACAAUUCUAGCUUUGUAGACGGUAACACUACUAUCAGUGUUCAUCUUCCUAUUGAAGAUCCAUUUAAUCUCAAUGGCUCGCCGAUCUUUGGGCAAGUCAAUCAAAGUCCAUACUUUGUUCUUAUACAUGGAUCUCAUCUCAUAUUUCAUGGCCUCGAGCCAUUUCACAGAAUCUGGGCUCAUCAUCGCUUCCUCAUAGUUCGUAGGUUCGUCAUGGUCAAGUAACAUGACCUCCAGAACAGGAUUACCGUACCACUCUGGUGCCGAUCUCACUCUGGUUUACCUACGAGGUUCGGUAGUAACUUGAUCUGAAGUUACAUGAUCAUCAUCAUUAGCUUCCUCACUAAUUGGUGUAGUAGUCACAGGAACAGAUUUCUGUGAUGAACUACUUUCCAAUAAGGGAGCAGGUACAGUUACCUCAUCAAGUUCUACUUUUCUCCCACUCACUUCUUUCGAGAGAAACUCCUUCUCUAGGAAGGAUCCAUUCUCAGCAAUGAAUAUCUUGCCUUCGGAUCUGUGAUAGAAGGUGUACCCAACAUUUUCUUUUGGGUAUCCUAUGAAGACGCACUUCUCCGAUUUGGGUUCGAGCUUAUCAGGUUGAAACUUCUUCACAUAAGCAUUGCAACCUCAAACUUUAAGAAACGACAGUUUAGGUUUCUUGCCAAACCAUAGUUCAUACGGUGUCAUCUCAACGGAUUUAGAUGGUGCCCUAUUUAACAUGAAUGUAGUUGUCUCUAAUGCAUAACCUCAAAACUAUAGUGGUUAAUCGGUAAGAAACAUCAUAGAUUGCACUAUAUCCAAUAAUAGUAUGGUUAUGACAUUCGGACACACCAUUAUGUUGUGGUGUUCCAGGUGGCACGAUUUUGUGAAACUAUUCCACAUUGUUUUAAUUGAAGACCAAACUCGUAACUCAAAUAUUUGUCUCUGCGAUCAGAUCGUAGAAACUUUAUUUUCUUGUCACGAUGAUUUUCCACUUCACUCUGAAGUUUUUGAACUUUUCAAAUGUUUCAGACUUAUGUUUCAUCAAGUAGAUAUACCCAUAUGUGCUCAAAUCAUCUGUGAAGGUCAGAAAAUAACGAUACCCGCCGCGAGCCUCAACAUUCAUCGGACUACAUACAUCAGUAUGUAUUAUUUCCAAUAAGUCAGUUGGUUGCUCCAUUCUUCCGGAGAACGGAGUCUUACUCAUCUUGCCCAUGAGGCACAGUUCACAAGCAUCAACUGAUUCAUAAUCAAGUGAUUCCAAAAGCCCAUCAGCAUGGAUUUUCUUCAUGCGCUUUACACCAAUAUGACCUAAACAGCAGUGCCACAAAUAAGUUGCACUAUCAUUAUUAACUUUGCAUCUUUUGGCUUCAAUAUUAUGAGAAUGUGUAUCACCACAAUCGAGAUCCAACAAACCAUUUUCAUUUGGUGUAUGACCAUAGAAGGUUUUAUUCAUGUAAACAGAACAACAAUUUAUUCUCUUACUUAAAUGAAUAACCCUAUUGCAAUAAACAUGAUCAAAUCAUAUUCAUGCUCAAUGCAAACACCAAAUAACACUUAUUUAGGUUCAACACUAAUCCCGAAAGUAUAGGGAGUGUGUGAUGAUGAUCAUAUCAAUCUUGGAACCACUUCCAACACACAUCGUCACUUCACCCUUAACUAGUCUAUGUUCAUUCUGCAACUCCCGUUUCGAGUUACUACUCUUAGCAACUGAACCAGUAUCAAAUACCGAGGGGUUGCUACGAACACUAGUAAAAUACACAUCAAUAAUCUGUAUAUCAAAUAUACCUUUGUUCACUUUUCCAUCCUUCUUAUCCGCCAAAUACUUGGGGCAGUUCCGCUUCCAGUGACCAGUCCCUUUGAAGUAGAAGCACUUAGUCUCAGGCUUAGGACCAGACUUGGGCUUCUUCACUUGAGCAGCAACUUGCUUGCCGUUCUUCUUGAAGUUCCCUUUCUUUCCCUUUGCCCUUUUCUUGAAACUAGUGGUCUUGUUAAUCAUCAACACUUGAUGCUCUUUCUUGAUAUCUACCUUCAUCGAUUUCAUCAUCAUGAAAAGCUCGGGAAUCGUUUUCAUCAUCCCUUGCAUACUAUAGUUCAUCACGAAGUUCUACUAACUUGGUGAUGGUGACUAGAGAAUUCUGUCAAUCACUAUUUUAUCUGGAAGAUUAACUCCCACUUGAUUCAAGUGAUUGUAGUACCCAGACAAUCUGAACACAUGCUCACUGCUUGAGCUAUUCUCCUCCAUCUUUUAGCUAUAGAACUUGUUGGAGACUUCAUAUCUCUCAACUCGGGUAUUUGCUUGAAAUAUUAACUUCAACUCCUGGAACAUCCAUAUGAUCCAUGACGUUCAAAACGUCUUUGAAGUCCCGAUUCUAAGCUGUUAAGCAUGGUGCACUAAACUAUCAAGUAGUCAUCAUAUUGAGCUAGCCAAAUGUUCAUGACCUCUGCAUCUGCUCCUGCAAUAGGUCUGUCACCUAGCGGUGCAUUAAGGACAUAAUUCUUUUGUGCAGCAAUGAGGAUAAACCUCAGAUCACGGAUCCAAUCCGCAUCAUUGCUACUAACAUCUUUCAACUUAGUUUUCUCUAGGAACAUAUCAAAAAUAAAACAGGGAGCUAAACGCGAGCUAUUGAUCUACAACAUAGAUAUUCUAAUACUACCAGGACUAAGUUCAUGAUAAAUUUAAGUUCAAUUAAUCAUAUUACUUAAGAACUCCCACUUAGAAAGAUAUCCCUCUAAUCUUCUAAGUGAUCACGUGAUCCAAAUCAACUAAACCAUAACCGAUCAUCACGUGAAAUGGAGUAGUUUUCAAUGGUGAACAUCACUAUGUUGAUCAUAUCUACUAUAUGAUUCACGCUCGACCUUUCAGUUUCAGUGUUUCGAGGCCAUAUCUGCAUAUGCUAGGCUCGUCAAGUUUAACCUGAGUAUUCUGCGUGUGCAAAACUGGCUUGCACCCGUUGUAGAUGGACGUAGAGCUUAUCACACCCGACCAUCACGUGGUGUCUGGGCACGACAAACUUUGGCAACGAUGCAUACUCAGGUGGAACACUUUUAUCUUGAAAUUUAGUGAGAGAUCAUCUUAUAAUGCUACCGUCAAUCAAAGCAAGAUAAGAUGCAUAAAAGAUAAACAUCACAUGCAAUCAAAGUAUGUGAUAUGAUAUGGCCAUCAUCAUCUUGUGCCUUUGAUCUCCAUCUCCAAAACAUCGUCAUGAUUUCCAUCAUCACUGGCAUGACACCAUGAUCUCCAUCAUCUUGAUCUAUAUCAAUGUGUCGUCACAUGGUCGUCUCGCCAACUAUUGUUCUUGCAACUAUUGCUAUCGCAUAGCGAUAAUUGUAAAGCAAUUAUUUGGCGCUUGCAUCUUAUGCAAUAAAGAGACAACCAUAAUGCUUCUGCCAGUUGCCGAUAACUUCAACAAAACAUGAUCAUCUUAUACAACAACUUAUAUCUCAUCACGUCUUGACCAUAUCACAUCACAACAUGCCCUGCAAAAACAAGUUAGACGUCCUCUACUUUGUUGUUGCAAGUUUUACGUGGCAGCUACGGGCUGAGAAGAACCGUUCUUACCUACGCAUCGAAAAUCGUCCCUCGAACUCCGAUCCAGCCGAGUGUUGAGGGAGAAUUUCGUCAGCAUGAUGGCGUGGUGAUAAUGAUGAUGUUCUACCGACGCAGGGCUUCGCCUAAGCACCGCUACGAUAUGAUCGAGGUGGAUUAUGGUGGAGGGGGGCACCGCACACGGCUGAGAGGUCAAGAGAUCAAUUGUUGUGUCUUUGGGGUGCCCUCCGCCCCCGUAUAUAAAGGAGUGGAGGAGGGGGAGGGCCGGCCCUCUCUAUGGCGCGCCCUAGGGGAGUCCUACUCCCACCGGGAGUAGGAUUCCCCCUUUCCUAGUAGAACUAGGAGCCCUUCCAAGUAGUAGGAGUAGGAGGGGAGGAAAGGGAAGGGAAAAGGAGAAGGAAGGAAGGGGGCGCCCCCCCCCCUCCCUAGUUCAAUUCGGACCAGCCCAUGGGGAGGGGUGCGGCCACCCUUUGAGGCCUUUCUCUCCUUUCCCGUAUGGCCCAUUAAGGCCCAAUACGAAUUCCCAUAACUCUCCGGUACUCCCGAAAAUACCUGAAUCACUCGGAACCUUUUCGGUGUCCGAAUAUAGUCGUCCAAUAUAUUGAUCUUUACGUCUCGACCAUUUCGAGACUCCUCGUCAUGUCCCCGAUCUCAUCCGGGACUCCGAACUCCUUCGGUACAUCAAAACACAUAAACUCGUAAUAUAACCGUCAUCGAACUUUAAGCGUGCGGACCCUACGGGUUCGAGAACUAUGUAGACAUGAUCGAGACACGUCAAUAACCAAUAGCGGAACCUGGAUACUCAUAUUGGCUCCUACAUAUUCUACGAAGAUCUUUAUCGGUCAAACCGCAUAACAACAUACGUUGUUCCCUUUGUCAUCGGUAUGUUACUUGCCCGAGAUUCGAUCGUCGGUAUCUCAAUACCUAGUUCAAUCUCGUUACCGGCAAAUCUCUUUACUCAUUCAGUAAUAUAUCAUCCCGCAACUAACUCAUUAGUUGCAAUGCUUGCAAAGCUUAAGUGAUGUGCAUUACCGAGAGGGCCCAGAGAUACCUCUCCGACAAUCGGAGUGACAAACCUAAUCUCGAAAUACGCCAACCCAACAAGUACCUUCGGAGACACCUGUAGAGCAUCUUUAUAAUCACCCAGUUACGUUGUGACGUUUGGUAGCACACAAAGUGUUCCUCUGGUAAACAGGAGUUGCAUAAUCUCGUAGUCAUAGGAACAUGUAUAAGUCAUGAAGGAAGCAAUAGCAACAAACUAAACGAUCAAGUGCUAUGCUAACGGAAUGGGUCAAGUCAAUCACAUCAUUCUCCUAAUGAUGUGAUCCCGUUAAUCAAAUGACAACUCAUGUCUAUGGUUAGGAAACAUAACCAUCUUUGAUCAACGAGCUAGUCAAGUAGAGGCAUACUAGUGACACUCUGUUUGUCUAUGUAUUCACAUAUGUAUUAUGUUUCCGGUUAAUACAAUUCUAGCAUGAAUAAUAAACAUUUAUCAUGAUAUAAGGAAAUAAAUAAUAACUUUAUUAUUGCCUCUAGGGCAUAUUUUCUUCAAUUAUCUGCUCAGAUCAGCGAUGGCUCAAAUGAUUAUGUAGGCUGGUCACACUGGUGAAUUUGUGGGGUCAAAUUAAAGGAACGCUAAUAUACAUUUUCAUGGAAACUUCAAUCAAUACAACAGUUGGGAAUGAUCUCAAUUCAACUGCAAGGGGCAUGGUUUUCUUUAGUUUCUUAAUUUUCAACAAAAGCAGUGUGGCCAAUUAUACAACAUUAGUGAUUUUUCAUAUCUCCCUACCAGCCCAACGAAGUGGUUUGGUAAUACCACUCGGGCGUUGUUGUCUAAAGUGAGAAGGCAAAGUGACUGUCGGAAGUAGUCAAUUUAGUAGAGGAGGAGCGGUGCGAGAGACAGUCGCUAACGCUGAUGUUGAAGUGGAUGGUAAAGAAUAAAUAUGGGCAUCACCUAUAAAUCAACACGUGUCUUUAUUCUGUGUCAUCUCUUAUACUAUCUAAAAAGAACGUAAGGUUCUCGUUUUACCUUUCUUCCCACAACCAUUUCGUCCAACCUUCCAUGUAUAUGAUAGUUAAUCAUCUUAAUUUACUUAUCUUCUAAACCAAUUCCACUUUAAUUUACUUACCAAACUUCUAAUCAAAAUAUAAGGUAAUUCACGGGCAGAAUUUUAUGAACAUUUAUUUACACAAUCGCAUUAUUAUUGACAGGAAAAUCACAAGCUAACGUACUAGAAUAUUUAUAUCCCGUUGCAACGCAUGGCCAUUGUUCUAGUUUUUAUUAUAAACCAAUUAAAAAUAGUUUCAUUCUUCUUAAAGACUAUAAGAGUAGACAUUAAAAUAUACUUUUAAACAAGAUAGUUAUUAAAAUAUUGUCAAUAUAUAAAGUUGUGCACAAUAUAAUUGUUGUGCAUGAUCAUCACCAAAACAAAAAAGAUAGGGUGACAUGAGAAUCAACGACGUUUGUGAGGUAGGGAGCAUGCGCUAAGAUUAUUUUCCUCGAGAGCUUCGACUUAUAUUUUUUUUACCAGAUUCCUACCCUAAUUUAAGAGCUAAACAUAUACAAAUCAAACAUACAUAAUUAGAAGUGAAUAUAGAGCAUGAUUGGAUUGGUGCCAAAUAUUUAGCAAUGUGCCAAAUAUUGGCUACAACUUGAUUAGUUACCGAGUUGUUUUGCGUGUCUCACAUAAAAUCUCUACUCCUAAUCUCUACUCCUAAUGGACGAGUUGUUGAAUAGUUCCCCCACUUUCGUCUGGUUUUUUUUCAACCGGUUUUUUUUUCAUCACCCCCACACCAACCCACCGAACCCCGCCCACGCACGUAGACAAAGAAAACAGCGUCCUGCCGCAGAUCAGGAUCGGCCUGCCGUCGAACCUCAUACCCCGCCGGAUCUCGCCGCCUGAGUCCAUCUGGAUCGCCGCCGUCAUGCGAUCUGCGCAGCCGUCGUACGAUCUGCGCACUCCACAGCGCCGCCGCGGCGGAACCACUCGACAGCGCCGCCGCCACAGAACCACUGGACAGCGCCACCGCCGCGGAACCACGACAGCGACAUAGGAGUUCCCGUCGGCAACGCUGUACGGAUUCAACCCCAGGUAUGAACACACAUGCUUUGUUUGUUAUGUAUACGUGUACAGAUCAGAACAUAUACAACUGUCCACAAAUGUAAUACAUGAUAACUUGGGCGGAACAUAUACAACUUUCGGUUAAUCUAUACAUGACAGGCAUAAUUGGUUAAUCUAUAUAACCGGUCCACAACAGUAAGUGCAAUGGUUGUAGUCAAGCAUCUAAAGGUCCUUUGGUUAGAGCAGGUCUACCCUUUCAGCUAGAACAAGUACUUUGAUAUUCAUUCCUUCUCCAUAUUCACCAUGAAGGAUACUCUCAAAGAUCCAUACCUGGUUAAGAGCAUAGUGUUGGGCUUCACAUGACAAAAGGAAAAAUAAUUACCUGCCCGAUUGUACCAUCCUCAAAGUCAGCAUUGAAGGAUUCAUAAAUAUUGUCGAACGUCAUACCCUCCAAGACAUCAUAAUUAUAUGGACCUGGAAUAAACCAAACGAAUAAAAGGAUGAAAGCAAACAGAAACUAAAUCAAGCCAUGCCAGAAUUCAUUUUGCACCUAUGGUACACAUGAAAUUACCCGACGUUCCAAAAUAAGUGGAAUGCGACAUAUCUAUUGCUAUUUUGUUACAACAGAAACGGAUUCUCAACUCAAAUGAAGUGCAAAUAAAAAUAGAUCUUGUGUAAUACAGUUAUGUGCUUGAGAACGAAAAUAGCAAUAGAUUUGAUUAACAUAAUACGGAAGGUCAGAGCUGGAAUAUGCAGUCGUGGUAGUCAUUUUUCCUGUUAACAGGCUCCAAUACUCAGACCAAGCAACCCCGAUCAUGUUUAUAACCAGCAAAUUCAGUUUUCAAAAAAAUGCAAAGUAGCAAAGUCUGUUGGACAUGUCUUUCUAUUUUCAUAUGUAUAGCAAAGCUGCCCUUAUGGACUGAGUUUCUGUAGCAUGGGAACGGGCGUUUAGUACUGUUGGUAUUUCACGUUAUCUGCUUGCAGAGUCAGUUUACAAGUUUUUGCGGGAUACCUGAGUCUGUUAGACAUGUCUUUUUUUUAGUAGUUACCUAUGGGGACUCCACACAGCAAGCCAACAGAACAGACGACACCAUCGCCGAUACCUCCAGGUAUAUGUUCACCUGUAAAUUGUGCUACACAAGUCAAACACCAACCCAGGAAACUGAAUUUGUUGCAGGCCCGACGGAGGGGACAAGUGUUGACGACUCUAAUGAAGGGAUUAUACCCGUAGCCGACGUUGUUGACAUAAUGUACCCACGUAGUCCAGGUAUAAGGCUUAAUUUUAUCCUUUUUAUGUGAAAAAUCAUACCUAACAGACUUGGGCACAACCGAUUCUGAUAUAUCAACAUCGUGACUUGUAGGAGUCCAUAUUACUCCCUACGAACGGAUGAUACUUGAGACCGAUGGUGAUAGCACAUAUGAUACUCCAGGUAUAUAUCUACCUCCAUGUAUAUGUUCAGCUACAUAUUUUGUUAUACAUGUCAAACACCAUCACAGGAGAUGUUGCAGGCCCAAUGGUGGGGACAAAUGGUGACGACUCUUACGAAGGGGUUAUACCUGUAGCCGACGAUGUUCACCAUGUGUCGAAAGGUUAACACCAUGCGCUUACAACUUUGCCUUAUAUCGGUCCUGUAUAUUGUUAUGUUUACAUGAUGCAGACAACCCUUCAAUCUCAUGCCUAUAUAAUGUAGAUUCGUUGCCGGCUCUCAGUAAUCUGACAAAAGAACUAGCUAGCAUGACAAGUGACAUUUGGGAAGAGAGGCCUCAGAAUGUCCCACGCCAUCCUCUCAGUGAUAUCACUAAUGCAGAUCAAUCCUCUAUGGACCUUCAUGAAAAGAGAGCUAAUGAAAGCUCGGAGGCGAGCUGCUUAUAGAAAGAAAAAAGAGGAGGCUACCGCCAAGCAACAAGAUGAAAAACUGUCUGCCCUUACGAUAUCAGGUAAGAAUGCUUUAUGGGAAGGCACUGCGAGGAUAUUAUAUAUACUCCCUCCAUUCCACAAUAUAAUGUUAACAUCAAAUCACAUGCAGAUAUGCAAAAUGUUCCCAUGUUACCUCUCGGUGAUAUCACUAAUGUGUGUCAACCAACCUCGGUGGACCUUGAUGAGAAAAAAGAGCUAAUAAAUGCUCGGAGGCGAGCGGGUUAUCGAAAGAAAGAAGAGGAGGCAGACAGCAAGCAACAAGAUGAAAAUCUGCCUGCAAUUACGAAAUCAGGUAAGGAUGGUUUUAUGUUUCAGCAAUACGAUGACCGUAUGUAUACUUUCUGAGUGAAGAAUCUAGGCGAUGUAUGUUUCCUCACCCCAACCCCACAAAUAAUUGACCGAACAAUAGUUGACCACUGUGUUGUGCAUACAAUUCCUGAUCAUUUAGGUUCAAUUCGAUAUAGGUCAGAUAUACGACUUUUGAUUCCAUAUACACUUUAUGUAUGGACACGGAGGGAUUAUAUAAAAAAUAAACCCUAGAUAGAGAAGUGGCUUCAACCAGACAUGUUGCCUCUCGGUGAACAAUGAAGACCCUAAACCCUCCGUGCAUAUAUGCAAAAUGUUCUGCUGUUAACUCUCAGGGAUACCAACCCAACUACAUCCAGCUAUACAUCAUUGUUUAACAAGACCCUAAACCCUCCAUGCACAUAUGCUAAAUGUUCCCAUGUUACCUCUCGGUGAUAUCACUAAUGUGUGCCAACCAUCCUCGGUGGACCUUGACGAGAAAAAAGAGCAAAUAAAGGCUCGGAGGAGAGCUGCUUAUCGAAAGAAAAAAGAGGAGGCAGCCAGCAAGCAACUAGAUGAAAAUCAGCCUGCCCUUACGAUAUCGGGUAAGAACGGUAAGAACGUUUUAUGUUUCAUCAAUAUGUUUCAGCACUGGGAUUAUAUUACAUACCCGCUCGGUUUCAUAAUAUAUGGUUACUAUGUUUUCAUGAAACUGAACCAUUUGAAUCUUUGUCCAACAUUCUAAAAUAAUACAACAGAUAAAACAAACUUUGUAUUGUCGAUAUUGGUAUUUGUUGAGAUUCUGCUACCUUGCAAAAUGUUGAACAAUGAACUUCUGAUUAUGUUUUCACACUGCUAUAAAGAACACAAGGGUGACUUAACAGACGAGCAAAGUGAGCAGAGAAAUGCGCGGAGGCGAGCAAAUUAUCAGAAAAAAGUGGGCGACGGAACGAUCGAUCUUCAAGAAAAAAAUCAGAAGUUGCGAGAAUGGCACGUGCAACACCCCUAAAACCAUGACUGAGGAUGAAAGGGGGGAAUCAAGUGCAAAAAGAAAGGCAAAGUAUGCUGCAAAAAGAAAAGACCCCGUGUGCGGAAUCGAUCGCUAUGCCUCGUCCAGAUCUAACUAGCACAUUGUCCAGCACUCACACACAUUGUCCGACUCUCACGCUCUCAGCCAUCACGCCACAAUCUGACAGUGAACAAAUAGAUCAUGCUCCUACCGUGAAUGCGGUCCCCACAUACAUCCGCAACACCGAAACCGAUGGUAGUUAUCCUAUGAACCAUCAUCUUUCAUCAUGUAAUCAUUCAUGACAUAUAAAUAAUGGUUCGAUAAUGUUGUAGGUGCAUACCUAAGCAGAACCUUUGGUGAUGGUGCUGUAGAUGGCGACCUCAUCGAAAUCAAUGAGCACAUACAAAAUGCCGACCAGCAAACCAGUGAUCCGGUAACAAAGCCGGAUAAUGGCGGACGAGCAGAGUCAUGAGUCCAGAGCUCGGCGUGGGACGAGAGAGCGAGCUUGCAAGGGAAGUAUGGCGGCGAAGACGCGUCAGGUGAAAAUAGGGAAGCAAAAAACAUGUUCGAAGGUACCACGUGGUGAGAGAAAUGCUCUACGCGACCCGCGUAAUGAAAGGUUUGCAGGUAGGGUAAUGACACCAACCGCCAGGUCCAUCUCCAUACCGGAAAUGAGCUCAACUGGACAACCUACCGUAGUGGAAGCACAUGGUGCCUCGACCCCAUCUAGCACGUCGGAGUACACGAUCAGAAGUGAAGGUAACACUCCCAUCCUUACUCUCUUGCGUUCCUUGAGACUAAACCCUCAUUUAUUGGUUUCGCACCUGAGCAGACGACAUGGACGCUUACCUUAGUCGUCUCAUGAAUGAUAAUGUCAACCCUGACAGCCUCUUUGACGAUGAGUAUUACCUUUUUGCUGGUGAAGGUAUGUCCACAGUACACCCACUGGAGCAACAUCCACCCGUUGGAAAUAUCACACCAAUUAUAAACAUUGUUUGCAGGCUCAGAUGUUGAUGGCAUGGAGCACGACGAAUUGGAAGACUCAAGUAAAAAUACCUAUGUCGACCAUGAUCCAUUGGACUAUGUCUACUCAAACCUCCCGGACCACACACACAUCCUGAAGCACGCCGCAAAUUGCCAUCACUGCAAGGCCAAGAAGUUUGUGUCCGAGGCCCUAGGAUUCUGUUGUCGCAGUGGGCAGAUCCAGCUGAAGCAACCGAAGGCCAUCCCGGAGCUAAUGAGGCUUUGGUCUAGCAUGGAUGCGGACUCAAGGCAUUUUCGGGAGAACAUACGGUUCUUCAACGGCCACUUCUCCUUCACAACCCUCGGCGUCAGCCUUGAUGAAAGCUACACAAACAUGAAGUCUAGGGUGUACACGUUCCGGGCGCACGGCACCAUUUACCACAACAUGCAUUCCUUCGGGCCAACAUCACGUCCAGAUCAUCUACAGUUGUACUUCUACGACGACGACCCAGGCCUAACCCAUCGCAAGGCUGCCACCGAGCAAUUAGACCAGGAUGUCGUCAGAAAGUUAGUGGACAUACUCGGGGAAAACCCGUACUCCCAGCAGUUUAGGAGUUUGGGUGCGCACAGGGACAACCUCGACGAUUACAGGAUAGACCUAAACACUGACGCGAGACUAGACCAACGGAAGUAUAAUAGACCUCUGUCAUCUGAGGUCGCUGCAAUUUGGGUGGAGGGCACUGACCUAGCGAAGAGGUUCGAUCGUAGGAUUACACUUUGCGGGAAUGACAACCAGAGGCACAGUAUACAUGUGACGGCUGGCCCGUAUGACCCGCUCUCUUACCCACUCUUCUACCCAAGGGGGGAGCUCGGUUGGCACCCGAAACUUCCUAAACAUGAUGUCCCUUGGCCGGUUGUGCAACAACCAAGAGGUAGACGUGAUGAUGAUGAUGAUGAUGAUGCAGGUAAGCCUCAUGCGUGUUCUGUCGUUUAGAUUAAUUGUAUACUUCUCAUAUGAAUCCUAAUGUCCGCGUUACUCAUCCAUGUGCAGAUGGGAAUAGCAGGUUAUACGUCUCGGUGAGAGACUACUACUGUUACAUGCUACAGACACGACCUGGGAUAUUCAAUCCCAUACUCUGUGGAGCACGAUUGCUCCAGCAAUGGGGGGUGGACAUGUACAUCAAGAUUGAGAGUUGUAGGUUGAAAUGGUACAGGAAGAACCAGACAAAGAUCCGCGCCGAUCUGUAUAAAGGAGUUGUUGAUGCAAUUACAUCCGGGGAGACUCGGGCAAGCGCUGUUGGGGUAAGGAUAGUGCUCCCUGGAACGUAUCCAGAUGGCGACCGCGACAUGAAGCGGAGGCAUAUGGAUGCCAUGGCAAUUGUCCAUACCUACGGGAAGCCUGACAUCUUCUUGACCAUGACCUGCAACCCUAACUGGGAAGAGAUAACGAAUGAGUUGUUUCCUGGUCAAACAGCGCAAGACCGACCUGAUCUUGUUGCUCGUGUGUUCCAUGGCAAGCUAGAGGCUAUGAAAGAGAUGUUCAAGAAGAAUAUCUUGGGUGUGGUUGUCGCACAUGUAUACGUAGUCGAGUUCCAGAAGAGGGGCCUCCCCCACACACACUUUUGUUGAUCAUGGAUUCUGCCUAUAAGCUUGUCGUUCCGGAGCAGUACGACCGACUCAUUUCUGCCGAGCUACCAGACAAGCAGAAGUAUCCUGAACUCCACGCCUUGGUGGUGAAACAUAUGAUGCACGGACCAUGCGGUGUUCUCAAUCCCAAAAAUGUGUGCAUGCAACAGAACGAGUGCAAGUGCAGAUACCUGCGGUCGUUCAAUGAAAACACGGCACAGGGUAAGGACUCAUACCCUGUUUAUCGUCGUCGAGAUAGUGGUCGGCAGGCUAAGGUCCGGGGUAAAAUGUUGGACAACAGAUGGGUUGUUCCGUAUAACCCUUACCUUCUGCGGAUGUUCAAUUGCCAAAACAACGUUGAGGUUUGCUCCAGCAUAAAGGCCGUCAAAUACCUUUACAAGUACAUAUACAAGGGCCAUGAUAGGGCUUCUUUCAGCAUCGACCAGCCUGACGCCGAUGGUAACAUUGAUGAGAUAAAACGAUACGUAGACGCGAGGUGGGUUACUCCUCCAGAGGCGAUGUGGAGGAUAUUUGGCUUCCCCUUGUGUGCCAAUGAGCCACCUGUCCUACAGUUGCCUCUUCAUCUCCCGAAUAUGCACAGGGUGGCAUUCAAUGAGCAAGCUCACUUGACCGACGUAGUCGCCUCUGAGAAAGCUUCCAAAUCCAUGUUGACAGAGUAUUUCAAAGCUAACCAAGACCACCCGUGGGCUAGGAAUAUAUUGUACAAGGAUUUUCCUGGAAGGUUCACAUGGCAGAAGGGUAAGAAGUAUUGGAAAGAGCGGGUGGAACGUUUUCAGAUAGGUCGAAUUAUGUCUGCCAAUCCUGCCGAGGGGGAGCGGUACUAUAUGCGUGUGUUGCUAAACCAUGUUGCUGGCAAGACAUCCUAUGAGGACCUGCUCACCGUGGACGGUAGGCUAUGCGGGAGCUUUAGAGAGGCUUCCGAAAGGUUGGGACUCAUCGAGGCAGAUAACACGCUCGACGACUGUCUUACCGAGGCAGAGCAGUGGGCGAUGCCAUGUUCGCUCAGGAGGCUCUUCGCAACAAUUUUGGUGCACUAUGAGCCAGGCGACGUGUGUGGUUUAUGGGAUAGGCACUUUGAACCUAUGUCUGAUGACUAUCGACGAUCACACACGUGCCUGAUUGAGGUGGAACAAAUGGUGUUGCUUGACAUUAGGGGUAUGUUGCAGUCCAUGGGCAAAGACAUAGCUGAUUUCGCUCUUCCAUGCAUUGACGACUCGUUCGACCCAACCGAGGGCGAGGCCAGAGAAGUGGUCGAGGAAUCCAACGUCGAUUUUGACAUCAACGACACUAAAUUGGCUUCGUCGCUAAACUCAGAGCAGAGGGCUGCAUACGACGAGAUACUAGCUUCUGUUGAACGCGGUGAUGGGGGUGUGUUCUUUGUUGAUGGCCCGGGAGGUACAAGGAAGACUUUCCUGUACAGGGCGUUGCUCGCCAAGGUUCGAAGCGACGGAAACAUCGCUAUCGCUACCGCGACGUCAGGCGUCGCUGCUUCUAUCAUGCCUGGAGGCAGGACUGCCCACUCGAGGUUCAAGAUCCCAUUGAGCUGUGACAAUGGCGCCUCAUGCACCUUCACGAAGCAGAGUGGUACCUCCAAGCUACUGAAGAUGGCCUCAUUGAUACUAUGGGAUGAGGCCACCAUGACUAAGCGACAGGCGGUUGAGGCACUGGACAACAGCAUGCGCGACAUCAUGGGAAGACGGGACCGACCCUUUGGAGGAAAAACUGUUGUGUUUGGCGAGGACUUCAGGCAGGUGCUUCCGAUCGUCAGGAGGGGGUCCCGGGGUCAGAUAAUCGAUGCAACCCUCCGAAGUUCACACCUCUGGAAGGGUAUGCGCCAGCUAAGGCUCGUCACCAACAUGAGGGCUCAUAAUGACACCUGGUUUGUGGACUACUUGCUAAGGGUAGGCAAUGGCACCGAGGAAGUUUACGAUCAAGGAAACAUACGACUCCCUGAAGAUAUUUUUGUGCCGUCUACAGGCAAGGGUGACAACCUGGAGAAGCUGAUUGACCAUGUGUUUCCGAGACUAGAUGACAACAUGUCCGAUCCGAAUUACAUGACUUCACGUGCAAUCCUCUUCACCACGAACGACAAAGUCGACAAGAUAAACAUACGCAUGGUAGAGCAUUUUCGGCGAGAAGUAAUCUACCAUAGCUUUGACAGUGUAGAAGACAACCCGUAUGGCUACUACGCUCCCGAGUUCCUAAAUGGAUUGACUCCCAACGGUCUGCCUCCGCAUGCACUCAAACUGAAGCUCAACUGCCCUGUCAUACUUCUCCGGAACAUUGAUCCGGCUAAUGGUCUGUGUAAUGGACGAGGCUUGUGGUGCGAGGUUUCGAGAGGAACACCAUCGACGCAGAAAUCGUGAUCGGACAACAUGCAGGUAGGAGGGUAUUCCUUCCUCGAAUACCCCUAUGCCCGUCUGACAACGACAUGUUUCCAUUCAAGUUCAAGAGGAAGCAAUUUCCUGUAAGGCUUAGCUUUGCUAUGACGAUUAACAAGGCUCAAGGCCAGACGAUUCCGAUUGUUGGCGUGUACCUACCUAAUCCGGUGUUCUCUCAUGGUCAACUGUAUGUUGCAUUGUCUCGAGCCACCGCAAAGAGAAAUAUAAAGAUCCUCAUUGAGAAGGAGAAGGAGAAUGCCAAGAAGGAAAGCGGUAAAUCUAAGAAGCGAAAAAGACCUGCCUUGUCCUUACAAACCUCGAUGAAGAACAUCGUCUAUAAGGAAGUCCUUACAGGCUGAAGUCCAUUCUUAAAUAUGUGAGAGGAUUUACUCUUAUGCUACAGGUAAUUUUGUGCUCUUUGCUGUCUUUGUACAUAUCUCUAUCUUUCGAUGUUUGCAAUUGAACUUUAUUAUGUUUAUAGUACAAGGCAAGUAUUAAUAAUAUUGCCUCGGAGUUGUGACUUUGCAAGUUGCCAAAUUUUGUUGUAUGCGAAAUUAUUUUUUGUUAUGCUGGUUUGCUUAUGUAUAUUAUUCUUUUGUUGUUUUGUAAUCAAUCAUCUACUACAUCUAAACUCGGCUUUGUUUUUCUACACAAAUAUUGCACACUGCCUUGGUCACUUCGUCAUUGUAAAACUAGACUCCACUCAAGUGUUCUACAAUACAGAAAUAUUUAUGAUGUGGCCCCAAAGCGGCCACAAAACUGGACCACCAUACAAUAUAUCAAAACUAUAUCUAUAUAUUAUUUAUCAUAGGUGGAGGUCCCUGUAUAGUCUCUUAUUCCCCUGCAUGUUGCAGCAGUCUUUGUAUGUGACAUUAUUUUUCGUUUUGCUGGUUUGCUUAUGUGUAUUAUUCUUUUGUUGUUUUGCAAUCAUUCACGUACUACAUCUAAACUCGGAUUUGUUUUCCUGCACACAUAUUGCACACUGCCUUGGUCACUUCGUCAUUGUAAAAUUAGACUCCACUCAAGUGUUCUACAUUACAGAAAUAUUUUUGAUGCGGCCCCAAAGCGGCCACAAAACUGGACCACCACACAAUAUGAAAACCAUAUCUUUAUUAUAUUAUGUCUCAUGGGUGGAGGUCCCUGUAUAGUCUCUUAUUUCCCCGUUAUUUGAAUUUUAUAAUGCUGGCUUUUCAAUACAUACAUAAACAGCCAUGCUGUGUUGCAGGUUUGGCGCAAGGAAACGGCUAUUAUUAGUUGCGAGGUCCAACGAUGGUGAUCGGAUUCGGAUGACUUGAGCAAAGCUGUGAAAAUUCAUGUGUACUAUACAAUAUGUCCAGAUGCAUGGCUAUUCACCAAGAACGCAGACUGCAUGCUUAAUUAUUUUUGCGAUCUUUGUGGGUCUAUGCCUACAAACUACAGCCUGAGCCACUUCAUAGCUCAUAAAUCAUUAUUACUAGAAUAUAACAAAAAUAUUCUAAACCACCUUCUGGCCUGCCAAGUAAACAACUAUUUAAACUUUCUAUCGGCUCAUAAAUCAUAGCUUGCAGACCAUCACGAAUCUAUAAUUGAUGAGAAUGGUAGUAAGGGGCACAACACAGCUUAUCAAGCAAUGUUGUUGUUAGUAGAAGAGUUUAUAUCAGUACCUUCCAGUUUCUUCACAUAGAGUUCCUUGGCGGCCAACAUUGUAAUGCUGAUCUCAGUCCAACUUCCACAAGAGGAGGUUUGCCUUGUUGAGACUGGAAAUGGCCCAAGAAUCUGCAUUUCAAAAAAACACAACAUAUAAAUCUUGUGAGUAAUAAUAUUAGACCAAUGUCUCUCUACUCCUAAGGUUUUGUCAGAGUGAUAUUUUUGCACACAUAAAUCAACUUACACAUUUAUAGCAUCCGGCUUCUCAGGAUCUGUGUAAGCAUUAUUGUAUUAACGCUGAAGGGUUCAAAGGAACUCCUGGGAUUGGGUUGCUGCCUUCCACUGCCCUCUUUGCUCACUGAAGAUCUGCCGCAUGUUUCAAUGCAGAAGUUAGACUGAUCAUUCAAAAUACAAAGUUGGAUGUAUGUUGACUAUUGAACAAUGCCUACCAACAAGACUCAAAUCAUUUUGAAAGAAAGAUAUUCAAGAUUAAAACAGCAAACACUUAAAAUGAGAAUUAACUAUAGGUUUUUUCUCAAAAACUAUAAUCAGUAAGAAAUGCAUGUUAAUUUAGUCACAAAAAUUUCAGAUGCAAACACUCGAGAAAUUUUUUCAUAAGUACACUCAACAUGCUUGGGUGACAGAUGCCCUCGGCCUAUUAUCAGUCAUCUACUACUAAACAAGUUUCCAAAGGGCAAAGCCGCGUGUACGAAUUGAUUUAGGAAGUUCAUUUAAUCAUAGGAGGACCUGUGAGAGCAAACGUCUCAUAUUAGGUAUCAACUGUACUGGUGCGCUGACCUUUGCUAAAAUGACAAGCAUGACAGACUGACCCAUGAUACUAGCCAGCAAUUGCUCUUUCAGAUUCCUAUUUUCAGCUAACAGGUGGCCCUAAUGUUUAUUUGAAUUAAACAUUUGGCCAAAUCGCCAAACACAACAUUAGGGUAAGACAAACAAACAUGUUAUUUGAGCAACACAUUGAUAAAUAUUGUGAGAUUUAUAUACUAAUUAUCAAAGGUUCCAAUAAUCAACAUGGGUGGAUGUUAUACACGAUUCAGCGUGCUGCAGUGCUGAUUUGGCACAUUAACAAGGCUUUUUCUUUCUCGAAUACACUUAAACAAGACUUGGUGUUACUACUUUUUAUUUCUUUAGUCAGUUUUGGGGUUGUCUUCUGAAAAAUAUAAAUGGAAGACCAGGUAAACUUUGCAACAGCCAGUACAACCUUAUACGAGGCUAGCUAUCGGCUAUCAUAAUUGUUCUAUUUCACAACUAUCAUGCUGUUUGAACAUCUCAGUACCUUUUAGAUACUUAUUAUUACAUUGGAGUAUUAUGCCAAUGGAAUUUGAUGGAAGCGAUGGCACCGUAAUAGCACCAUCAACACAAUGCAUGUAUUACGAUAUCAUCAAAUCAGACAUUAUAUAAGCAUAGUAGUCCCCACAUAUGUUAUUCAAUAAAAAUAUGAGUAUCCGUACAACAAUUAUGGGAAAAAACAUGCUUGAGUAGCUCUCUAGAAAUACUAGGGUUGAUGCAAUGAAAGCCUAUUUAAGUCAAUGUGGUGUUUAAAAGGAUGCUUGAAUUCAAUGAAGUACAUCUAACAUUGACAUUGCAGUUUUAUGCAAGGUGAGUAAAAGAACGGCAGCAGCUUCCUCAAAGAAGUAUAUCUAACAUUGAUAACUGAUUUACCUUUGCAAACUGCUCAAGAAGGGCAGCAACUUCCUCCUCCACAGCUAUGCAGGACUCAAGCACAUCCCAGUUAGGCCAAAACCACCUCUUGAUUAGCAUUAUGGAUUCAGUUGCAUUGAUGGAUUCAGAGUACUACUGCCGGCACUCCCUGUUUCUUGGCUUGCUGAGGAAAGAAAGCAACCAACCAACAAAUUCAGAUGAGGGGCUUGCAAGCAAGCAGGCCAAGAGAGCAAAGGAGGGGCUUACCAUCAGCUAUGCGGGAGCCGAGCGAGGUAGCGCUUUCUGAGACGGUCGAUGGAGAUGCCGAGGUUGCCAGGCAAGGGGGGCGUUCCGGUUUCUUGGCCGGCUGAAGCAGCGGGACGAGCGACAUCGUGUGGCCGGCCGGCGGCAGCGGUGGGGGCGUGGACGGGUGGUCAGACACGCCGGUGGCUGAGGCAGGGGCGCCCCCGCGGCGCGUCGCUCGGCGCACGCCGUGCCGCAGAGCUUCGAGCCGUCGUCGCUCCUUGCGGAGGGUGGCGGCGUCGGGGAGCAGUCGUCGCCCUGGCCGUGCCUGUGAGACCGGGUCACGGCGCCGCGGCACACCAGGGAAGAGGAAACCACAUCAGGGAAGGAAUAUGUGGAAGAAGAAGAGGAGAGGGGGCGCAUCAAGCAUGGGGAGUGGCGUACCGGAGCUGCUCCGCUUGCAGAUCGAGCCGCCCCGCGUCGGAUCGACCUGCGACCUCGCCGGAGAGGAGCACCACCGCGGAUCCGACCGGAAUGAGACCGGAUCGAGCACGCACGCCCGGGUCAGGAAGCUCGAUGCGUCUGCCUCCGUCGAUCGCGCCGCACACAGCUGGUCGUAGUCCCAAGCCCCGCCAAUUCAUGAGACCGAUUCGGUGGUCGGCGGGCGGAGUCGCGCGGUUGCGGGCUCGUCGACGCGCGCGGCGAUGCGGCGGGGGGAGCCGGGGAGGGGAGAGGGCGAGAGGUGGUCAGUGAGUGGAUAGGAGAGGAGAGAGUGCUGGGGAUAAGGUUCAUUUUUUUAUAUUUAGUUUUUUUAGGUGGGGGUAAGCUUGGGUGCUGGUUGGGCCGUGAUGGAUAGCUAAUUUGGGCCUUUGAUGGCAAAUUUUGCUCAACGAAAAAACAUAGAUAUUGAAAGUAUAUAUUUACCUCACAAAAACAAUAAAAGUGUGUGUAUAUAUAUAUAUAUAUAUUAAAUAUGGUUCAUAAAAAUAAAUGUUUUUUAUACUUAUUAUAUAUAUUGAGUGUAUCACAAAAAAAAUUGAGAGACGAAAACGAAUAUACUUGGUUUAUGUUGGUUUGCUUGCAUGUUUUUAUCUUUUGUUGGAAAAUUUUGCAUAGCCUAUAUAAAUAAUUUUAAAAAAUCAGAUGAAUACUUAUUUAUAUAUGAACAUUAUAGUUGGUUGUUUUCCCCGAAUUGUUGUGUUAGUAAAAUGAUUUAAGCAACAUAAUUUUCUAAUAAUAUCAAAAAGGUUUAUCUUUUUAAAAAAGAAAAUAGUUGUGUUAGUUUCAAUUUUAUUUUUAUUAUAUAUAUCUUUGAUUAUAUAAUGAAGUAGAAAAUAUCAUUUAUAUUUCAUCAUAGAUUUAAAGUGAUAGGUUCUGACAUACGCACUGAUGUAACGAUGACAGACCGCACUGAAAGACCACGAGAAGAGGUGCAUAUAGCUAACCUUUCUUUGUAUGUAUAUUAUACAUCAUAAUACAAAAGGUGUAUUUUUUCAGGAUAUAGGAGACAUGGAUAUGGACUUUGAAGAUGCACAAAAAGAAUCCAUUGAGGGUUCCGAAGCGACGUCGCUGAAAGGGGACGGAGAUUCACCGAAUUAUUUACAACAUAAUGAUAUGGAAGCGGUGAUAUCUCAUAUGGAAGCGGUGAUAUCUCAUAACAAACCACAAAAGGAUGCCAAUUUUAAUGUUAUCGCACAAGGUAUUUUUCAAUAUUAUUAUCAAUCUUUUCUUUCUAAUAUUGCCUUUUGUAUUCAACUAAUUUGGCUAAUUUUGUUUACUAAGUUGGCUCACUUAUGAUGUCGGCACACUAUGUUUGUAUCCCGAGAGAUAUUACAGUCAUCGAAUCAAUCAAGUCUGCCCCCAAGAAUAUCCAAUUCGUGAACAUUGGAGAUGCCUUAUUAUCAACCGACGAUUUGAAAUGCCUUAUGAAAGAUGAUAUGUUCUUACAUAACGGUGUAAAACCAACUGCAUAAACUUUGUAAUUAAUAAUAUGAACAAUACAUAUAAUAUCGUAAAAUAUAAACAUAAUCUAAAUGGUGAAUGCAGGUGAUAAAUGCUUACAUAUAUUGCAUGCUUACUCACGACCAUCUACAAGACAGGGCGGGUGGAAAGGUAUACAUUAUUAGCACGUUUGUAUCUGGCCAGACAAAAGAAGACGGGGAAAAAGACAUAGACCCAUCGAAAUAUCGUCACAUCGUGCAUCAUGUUAAUACUUAUCUACAACAGGAUAUGGUUAGUCUUGUCUCGUUAUCCAUGCAUAUAAUUAUGGAUUGUUUUUUUCUAAUUCAUAUGUAUAAUGGUUUAUUAAUAUUUAUAUCUAAUUGUGACUGCGACCUGUAUGUUAUCUACACCAGUUAUUCAUUCUGAUUAACAUGUCGGGCUACCAUUGGUAUCUAGCAGUCACCAAUGCCAAAAAAGUCAGAUUCAAGUAUUGCAGAAAUGGAAUUCAGUUAUUAAAUAAUUGUGUUUGUGUUAUAUUGUUUGUAUGUGUGGAGUUUAACAUGUAACUCUUGCAAACUAUUUCAAGAGCCCGUGGCAACGCACGGGCAUUCUACUAGUUGUCAAUAGUUGGCAAGUCUUGGUAUUGCCAACAUUUGGCUAGCCAAAUGUUGGCAUCAAACCAAUCAUGCUCAUAUAUUGCAGUACAAUGAAACAAUAAUAUUAUGUGCGAUCAUACAUGCAAUUUAUAUGGUCCUCCAAGCUAAAAUAAAAACAAAGGUAUAAAAGCGCACAUUGUACCAGAAAUUUAGGGAAAUAACAACUUAAACUACGCUUGGGUGCAUAUACAACAAAAUUGAAAAGAAAAAAUAGGAAACACUUUAAACAAAUCUGAAUUUUUUUAGACAAAUAUUGUUGAAUGUUUUACCAACAUAAAAAGUUGGUGGUAAAAAUCAUUCAUGGAGGUCUGGAGAAAGAAGAUGUUCCAAAAAGGGCAAUUUUUUAAAGCACUCUGGAACACUGACUUUUUUGUCCAGACCUUCACGGAUGUCUUUCCAUUACGAAACUUAUUUGCAUGUUACUAAAACAUUCAACCAUGUUUGAAAUUUACUGUUCAUCCUAGGUGCAUAUGCGCCCAGGAGCAGAGCGAUCACUUCCGCCUAAACUGACAUUUCUUUCAUGUAGAAGUAAUCUUCUCCAUCAUUUUUUUAUCAAUUAAUGUGGUAAUGUUACCCAUUUUGAUUUUUGUUGUUCGAGAUUUGCUUUGAAUGGAGGAACAUUUUCUUAUAAUGUUAAAUUAAUAGUCCUUUUUUUUGCUAAACAUAACUUGUUUUAUUUCAGUAGCAGUAUGCUAUACUUUAAACUAAAUAAAUUAAUUUUACUUGUCAGUUGAAUGGCAAAUUAAGAUGGACCUAUAUUUUUCAUUGUGGUAAAAGAAUAGAUAUAUCUAGCUUUAUGUAUGGAAUUUGGCUCAAUAAUGUGAUAUUUCACCACGACGAGAUGGUACAUCCUGUUUUGAUUUUCUGAAAUCUAGAAGAUACGUGAGCACAACAGCUCGCCGGAGUCACACCGCGCGAUGCUUUCUCCACGUGAGCGAACCAUGCAGGACUCACUCACACACUUGAUCCAGUGAGCUGUCUCCACGGAAAUCCAGUCACAACCACUCCUGGCCACAAGUUCACAGGAAUACUCAUAUCUCUUGGCUCUCGAUGUUACAGGUGUUCUGAGUGCAAGAGAUCUAUGCAGCACCAAUGGCAGCAAAGCUCAAGAUUUUUCUCUCUAUCCAUCUUUAUCUUGUCUGAUUACACACUAAAUCGAUCCCUAUACCACCUCCGACUGCCUUAAGUAGCCACAUCCCCCUCUCCUAUCAAGUCAUCUGGACACACCCAUCUCUUGCAGAACCCAUACUGCCAACAUUUUGCGUAGCCUUACAAUGGCGACCACAACCAUGUCUCUCUCCUCCUCGACCUUUGCCGGCAAGGCGGUGAAGAAUGUACAAUCGUCGACUCUCUUUGGCGAGGCCCGUGUCACCAUGCGCAAGACUGCAGCGAAGGCGAAACGGGUUUCCUCUAGCAGCCCAUGGUACGGUGCCGACCGUGUGCUCUACCUCGGCCCACUCUCUGGCGAGCCUCCGAGCUACCUGACCGGUGAAUUCCCUGGCGACUAUGGGUGGGACACCGCCGGGCUUUCGGCUGACCCCGAAACCUUCGCCAAGAACCGGGAGCUAGAGGUGAUCCACUGUCGUUGGGCCAUGCUUGGGGCGCUUGGUUGCAUCUUCCCUGAGUUACUCGCCCGCAACGGUGUCAAGUUUGGCGAGGCCGUUUGGUUCAAGGCUGGCUCCCAGAUUUUUAGCGAGGGUGGUCUCGACUACCUCGGCAACCCCAGCCUCGUCCAAGCGCAAAGCAUCCUAGCUAUUUGGGCGUGUCAAGUCGUGCUAAUGGGUGCCGUCGAGGGGUACCGCAUUGCCGGCGGCCCACUUGGCGAAAUCGUGGACCCACUCUACCCAGGCGGCAGCUUCGACCCUCUCGGUCUAGCCGAUGACCCUGAGGCAUUCGCUGAGCUCAAGGUGAAGGAGAUCAAGAACGGGCGUCUCGCUAUGUUCUCAAUGUUUGGUUUCUUUGUCCAAGCUAUCGUCACAGGCAAGGGCCCUCUUGAGAACCUCGCUGACCACAUCACUGACCCCGUCAACAACAAUGCUUGGGCGUUUGCCACCAAUUUUGUUCCCGGCAAGUAAGUUAUCUUGAAGCCUGUGCACACCACCAAGCGUGUUUAUUGUACAGCCUGAGUUGUACUACCAUGAUGUAAAUUACAAUAAUUUUAUGCAAAAGCAAUGCAAGAUUUGUCCGCCUUCAAUGUUGUGACUUGCAUUGAUCUGACCAUUUUGUUGUGACAACAAUCACAAUCACGGAAACAAAUAAAUACUUUGUCACGCGCUUAAUUAAUUAUUACUUCCUCAGUCUGAAAUUACUUGUCACUCAAAUGGAUAAUUCCGGACAGACGGAUGUGUUUGGCACUUAAAUACCUUCGUUUGAGCGACAAGUAAUUUCGGAUAGAGAAAGUAUCAUACUGUGCUCAGGUGAGUGACAAUUUAUAGAAUCGUGUGUGUCGUUGAAUUUGCGGAGCCUGAACGAAGGAAACAUUAGUAUAUAUAUUUUUCAUUGAAGAUUUCUGUUUUGUGUUUACUCUCCACGCCUUCUUUUUUUGCGGGGGUACUCUCCACGCCUUUGAUCAAGGCAACCAUCCGAAAUGAUCUCUAUUUAUCUCGCUCAGUUGCAAGGGCCAUGAUUUAUUCUCAUUUCAUAAUUUGCAACAAAACAGGGUGUGUCCAAUUAUACCGCAUCAAUGAUUUUUUGGAUCUAUCUGCAUUUUUACUUUAUGAUUUGGACAAUUUAGAGACACAUACCCAAGCAUCUAUUCCAGAGAAGGUUUUUGCCCUGAGAUUCAGCCACUUGGUUGAAAGCAACUUGUGGGCAUUUCCUUUCUUGACACAUGUAUUACUUUGGGAUAUGGUGGGGUAGAAACCGAUGUGUGGCUGUGUGUUUUUGAUUCAAAUUUUUUGAACUUCAUUGCUUCAUCGCUGUGUAGUUAUUGGGGUGGGUCUAGCAAUUUUCUGUGCGAUGUGGGACAUUACUUUUGCCUUGCAUGUGUGCUGCAUGGCGUCGUAGUUGAUUUGAUCACGUAGUUUAGUUUUGUCCGCUUUCUGGUUGGAUGGAUUUGUGGGCUGGCUGCUUUUUUUUUCACCUCCGUGUUUGUCUCCCGCUCAGUUGUAUGCUGCUUGAUUUUUGCCUCUGUAGACGCGUGUCCGUGUUAUUUUUUGCAUGUGGUGGUUCUGGUUGUUGCGAUUUACAUGCAUAUGCGGCAUGCUGGUUGCCUAAAUUCGGGUCUUGAACGCCGCUUAACUCGAUGGUUCUGGUACUCGCUCGCCGCUUUGGUCGUUGUUCUGGCCACGUGUUCCUGCCGACAUCCUGCCGCUUAAUUCGAUGCUUCUUGAUCGCCGCUUGAAUCGUUCUUUCUAGAUGAGCCGAAGGUGUAUAAAUAGUGAGAUUCGCUUCUGUUUCACCGCAGCACUGGCCAAUUCCUCCUCACCGUGCCCCGCUAUAUCGUCGUGCCGCAUUGAGCCCACUAGCACCGCGUGGGAGAUGCCCCUCACGGCCGGCGGCCAGAUCACCAACUUUCCCAUCCUCUUCUGCUUCGCCUUCGUCUCCUACCUGCUGCUCUUUCUACAUCCUCUUCUCUGCCGUCAUGGAUGACCUCCUGUAGCCAUCCACCACGCGGUUCGACCAGGGGAUGGUGUCGACGGCAGUCGCUGCAACGGCAGCUCGGCAUGCGCGUCAGCCUGGUGAACGAGCGCAUCCGGUCGUACACCCAUGAGUGGGAGUUCGGCGUCAUGGGCACCAUGGACGAGUUGCACCUCCGGGCCGUGCCCGAGUGUGUUACCGAUGCCAGGCCUGCUCGCUAUGAUGUCCAACACGAAACUACCCGUCGAUCAACGGCGCUAGCGAUACCCGGAGGUCGGCGGCGGCCUGUGCAUCAUCAAGGAGAAAAGGCCGCGGCACAAGCGCGACGGAAGCGAAGAAACAACAUCUUGCAGCAGCGUCAUGGGGCUGGUGGACGACAGGCCGCGGCUGAUGAUCCUGUCCCGGAACGGGUUGCCCGCGCUCGAGAAGGAGGCCGAGCUGGCGGCGGCGAGGGCCAGGUUCCGCGUGACCAUGCUCCGGCGGCUCCCAGACGCCGGUGGGCACACCGGACACGCAUGGUGAUGUGGCCCUAGAAUGCAUGCUAGCAUGUACUACACGGGUGGCCGGUCAUGCGGGCGAGAUGAGUCAUGGGUGACGGCUGUGUGGAGUUGUGAGAUGGCAGCGGCAUCAAGGAAAACACCCCAUAGGAACGGACCUAUGCGCGUGGGCGCGCGGGGUGGUCGCCGGCCUCGACCACUCCUCCUUCCGCCUCCCCGCCCACUUCUUCGCCGUUUACGAUGGACGACUAGCGGUGCCCGAUCACCGACUACACAAGCUACACGCCGCGCUCGCCGCAGAGGACCUGCCUGCCGCAGAGGACCGCGUCGGAGCCUUCGAAAACCUGCCGCCUCGAGCUCGCGACCCCCCAGGCGGACGGCGUCCUGCCGUUCCGUGUCACUUAUACAACGGUUACCGGAGUCGGAGGUCCUGUGGUGCCGGUGGCCGCCUCUCGAUUUUUUUCGUGUGGCUCCGCCUCCAAAGCCAUCGCGCCGGUGACAACACCUUCCCCGGCAUGUGUCACAUUAUCACAGCAAGGCCGCAUUGCUCCUUUUGACCUUCUCUGAUCGACUGGGUGCCCGAAGCAAGGUGGCGACCAUCGUGCCGUCCCCAACCGAACGCCCCCGCCCGCAGCUCCGCGACGCUCUGCUCGAGCGCGAUUAGCGCUUGCUCGAACGAGCCGUACGCGACGGUGGACCGUUCGCAGGUGGCAAUGCAAGGAACUCGCCGAGUGCGGCUAGGGCAUCCUCCACGUGCGUGAGCUCCGAAUACCCGUCCACGGCGGAGGCUGACUAUGCAUGCCCGCGCAGACUCCGGCGUCGAGGUGCGUGUGGACGCGGGUGGCACGGCGACCGGGCGUGCGCAGUCUUCCCCGUCGCCCCGGUGUCUCCAAGUGUGAAGUGCAUUAUGUGACGAGUAUCACCAGCGGUUGCACUUGCACAUUGGUUUACUUGGCACGUUCGAUGGAUGGCCUCAAGAGUACGUACGUGCCUGGGCACCGUGGUUUACUGCAACUUGCAUGGCAGGGAAAGCUCCUGUUCGUCCAUGUGAGAGUUGGCGCAGCGCUGACGGUACGGUAGCUGGGCCUGUUUACUGUAGUUCGGCGUGGGGGCAGAACUACUAUUACAACUGUAGAGGAGCUACUAUUACCGCCUCAUCCCGCCUCCGUGAUGCUUGCUCCUCAUCUCUACCGUCCGACACCACCAGUGUGCACAAACACCCCGCACUGCUGUCGCUGCUGCUGCACGGCUUUGCUGCUCAAGCUCAACCGCAAACAUCACGCUGAGCACAGCCAGCGCAUCGCCCCGGAGCACCCACGCGAGGCUUCCACCCAGCACACUAGCACGCAUGCACACAUCAUGCACCCAUCGGCCAUCACCGUAGCAAGGACACAUCACACGCUAGCACAUGCACGGACGCACGCACGCGCAAGCAGCAGCCGUUCGCCAUGGCAUACAUCCUCCAGGCCUCCAGGGCACGACAAGAGGGCCUCGCCUCUGGGUCCAGCUACCGCACGAGGCAUGAGCCCAUGGCGAGGGCCAACGAGUGAGGUGAGCGAGUGCGGCAACGAUGAUGCACACGUACAGUGGUGGAGCUGCGGAAGACGGCGGGGAGCCCUGCGCGUCGCAGCGCCAACAUCGUGGCCUGGAAGAUCUUCCUGGGGAAGAAGGCAUGGAAGAAAGAAGAGCCUUCCGAUUUGAUUUGAACGGCAGAUUCUAAUACCUAUUGUACUGGUACAGUAACAACACGACUGUAGAGGAGCCGAACCCUUCUUUUAUUUCUCCUUCGGUCGUUUUAUGUGUGUGGCUUAUUUUCUUUUAUCUUUUUCUAAUAUAUUUUUUACGUCUUAUCCGUACAAUGAGAUAUUUUCUCUAUUUUUUACCAUCUGUUUUGUCUUAUCCGUACAAUGAGAUAUUUUCUCUAUUUUUUACCAUCUGUUUUGUUUUCUUUUUUGACGGUCGCAUGUGUGGGUUAAUAAUGGUGUUGCCGCGUGAUGGACUAUGGUUGACAUGUUGCAUAUGUUAUUUCAUUGUUGUCAGCAGAGUCAUAUGGAAUUUUUCUUUUUGCUGCUUUAGGUCGGUUGCCGUUUUGGCUGUAGAGACUAAUUUAUAUAUAGUGCUCAUGAUAGAAACCGGGUGUGGAUGUGUUGCGUAUAUAUUUGUUCUCUUCAUGAUCGGCCACGUUCUACUUGGCCGCCUGCUGAUGGUAGACCUGGUAAUGCUGGUCGGGAGGUGGAUAUUAAUCGUGGUAUCUACGCAGACUACUAGGCGCGUAGACAAUGAAUCUGUAGAAGGAAGGUACCCAACGCCGGUGGGUGCUCCACCGAGCCGCUGCUAUGGCCUCUUUCAAUAACAUGUGCCCUAGCUUCUCCCAUCUCUUCUGGGAGUAAGACAUGUUCUCCACCAUUUUCCAUCUCGCAAGAUGUAUCACGCAUGGUGAUAAUAAAUGCAUCCUUUGCAAAUCGCUUAUGUGCACAACUUACCUUUUUAAACUAAAAAAUAAUGACUUUAAACUUAUGCUCAUAAAACUCUUAUUUUUAGACCUGAAUUUAUCACACAAAAUAAAAAUAUCAUAUAUAAUCAUAGCUUAUUUUUAAGGCGCGGCGUGCCGCCGCGCGGGCUAGGCUAGUACACAUUGAUCUAGUAAUCAAUAAUGGUUGUCUCGCCACGUUUUCAUGUUUGGCUUAUAUGUGCACACGCCAUCGUCAUAGGGGAACAUUGUUAGAUUUCUCCAUCGAAGAAGUACCUCCGUGCUAUUACUUCAAAUUUAUCAAACCUAUCAUAAAAGCACCCACUCUUACUUCCUUAGUUAAUCCAAAGAUGAAUGCAAGUAGGUCUAUAGUAUAUGAAUCGAAAUUAAGCCCAGUCCAAACCUGACAGCUAGAACAUCAUUGCAUCAUAUAUGACCAUCCCCAUGUCCCAUGUUAUAGUCACCACUUUUGGCUGAUGUUUCGCUGCCCCUAAACCUACCAGACUAUUCUUUCAGCAAAUGCAAAUCAACUAAGAACUACCAAACUCCUAGAUGUUUUUAUGUUGAUGCAGUGCUUGAACCAAUCAUGUUAUUUUCUUACCCAAUUUCACCACACAACUAAUAUUGAUUGUUUUCACUUGAUACAUUGCCUCAAUCAUAGCAUGUACUUUUUUUUAGAGAAAAGGCAUACGCGCGACUUUAUAAAUAAAGCCAUACGAAAGAGUAGCAACAGAACAACACAACACAAACAGUUCACUCAAAAACAAUGGGCCAACCACCACAGGACAUAAGAACCAAAGUUCGGUGGCACGCAGGCCCAAAUACUACAAAAUGAGGCAUGCAGGCCAACCACCUACUACACUAAGGAGAAGCCAACAAGCUACGACGAAGCGGCGACGGGGGGAGAGGACAUCAGGUUGGCAGACGCCUGCACUUUAUUGAUCAACACCCCCAUGCCAUCUCGAUCCGCCGAUUUAGUCAAUAAUUUUCAUUGCUACAAGAAGAUAGACAUUUUAAACAGGACAUCAGCAGGCUUAUUAGAAAAAGCACCCUCAAUGGUGAAUUUGUUUCUGGUAGUCCAUAAGGACCAGCAAAGAGCACCCGGCCCAAUCCAAAACAGCCUCCUGGACCGUCCCUGUAAGUUAGCCAUCAACAGACGCAUGUCUGAGAACAAGCCGGGGGCCCAUGAGGUGUUCCGCCAGGAACGAACACACCCCCACAACAACUUGGCCAAAGCACAUCCAAAGAAAAUAUGAUUAGUGUCUUCCAGGGCAGAACAUAAAGCACAGUAAGCCGAGCCGGGGUCAUUCCUUUUCCAAAUCUGAUCCCGGGAAGGCAACCGCCCCCUAAAGGCUUGCCAAAGAAAAAUCUUGAUCUUGGGGGGGAUCCUGGCAGCCCAAAUUUGCUUAAACUUGGAGGAAGGAGUACCAGAAAUAAUCCUAGCAUACAAUGACUUGACAGAAAACUUCCGAGACGCGACAUGAGGCCAGGACACGGAGUCCUCCUCCUUCGAGAGAACAGGAAACAAAGCAGCAAGACGGUGCCAAUCCCCCAACUCUUCGGGAGAAAGAGAUCUCUGGAAGCCCAAGUCCCAAUUAUUACGAGGGAGCUCAGAGAUUGAGAUCUCCAGGUUAGAGCAAUAAGAAAUCAAAACCGGAAAAGAAGACCCAAGCGAGGAAUCGCCGGACCACCAAUCCAACCAAAAAAGAGUAGAGGCACCAUUCUUGACCACGAACUUGACAUGCUCAAGAAACAGAUCCCUCACCCUAACCAGGUCUUUCCAAAACUGUGACCCACGAGACGCCGUAGCGAACAUGGGAUUACCAGCAAGGAAGUGUCUAGUUUUGAGAAGAUCGAACCAGAGAGUGCCGAGAAUAGCAGUCAUGAUCCUCCNNNNNNNNNNNNNNNNNNNNNNNNNNNNNNNNNNNNNNNNNNNNNNNNNNNNNNNNNNNNNNNNNNNNNNNNNNNNNNNNNNNNNNNNNNNNNNNNNNNNNNNNNNNNNNNNNNNNNNNNNNNNNNNNNNNNNNNNNNNNNNNNNNNNNNNNNNNNNNNNNNNNNNNNNNNNNNNNNNNNNNNNNNNNNNNNNNNNNNNNNNNNNNNNNNNNNNNNNNNNNNNNNNNNNNNNNNNNNNNNNNNNNNNNNNNNNNNNNNNNNNNNNNNNNNNNNNNNNNNNNNNNNNNNNNNNNNNNNNNNNNNNNNNNNNNACUCCCUUUGUACCAUACUAUAUGUCGUUUUAGCACUUCAAAUUGAAGUGCUAAAACGACAUAUAGUAUUGAAGUGCUAAAACGACAUAUAGUAUGGUACAAAGGAAGUACCAUCAAUGAGAGAGUCCAAUAUAAAAAGCAUAUAAAAAUCAAACAUAUAGAUUAUGCAAAUUUAAAUUGGGAAUAAAUUAAUUUACUUAUCAAUCGAAUGACCAUUAAGAUGGACCUACAAUCUUCAUUAGAGUAAAAAUGGAUAUAUCUAGCUUUACGUAUGGAAUAUGGCCAAUAACGAUGUGACCUUUUACUACGAUGAGAUGGCACAUCCUAUUUUGAUUUUCUGAAAGAUAAAAGAUACGUACGUGAGAACAACAGCUCACCAGAGUGUGUGCGGUGUGACGUUGCGCGAUGCAUCCUAGUGCAUGCGAACCCUACAGAUCUCACUCACACACUUGAUCCUAGUCACAGCUACUUCUAGCCACAAGCUCACGGCGAUAACGUUUCCUGGUUCCCAUUGCGCCAAAAAAAAGUGUUCUGAGAACAAGAGAUUUGUGCAGCACCAAUGGCAUCGAAGCUCCAGAUUUUUCUCCCUAUCCAUCUUUAUCUUGUCAGCUUAUACACCAAAUCGAUGCCCUGUGCCACCUCCGUUGCCAUAAGUAGCCACCUCCGCUCUCAUAUCAAGGCAUCUCCACACUCACUCAUCCCUUGGAGAAUCCAUACAGUAGACAAUUUGCUCAGCCUUCCAAUGGCAACCACCACCAUGUCCCUCUCCUCCUCGACCUUUGCCAGCAAGGCGGUGAAGAACGUGUCGUCAUCGGCUCUCUUCGGCGAGGCCCGCGUCACCAUGCGCAAAACUGCAGCGAAGGCAAAGCAGGUUUCCUCUGGCAGCCCAUGGUACGGUGCCGACCGUGUGUUGUACCUCGGCCCACUCUCCGGUGAGCCCCCGAGCUACCUCACCGGUGAGUUCCCUGGCGAUUAUGGUUGGGACACUGCCGGACUUUCGGCUGACCCGGAGACCUUCUCCAAGAACCGGGAGCUGGAGGUGAUCCACUGUCGUUGGGCCAUGCUUGGGGCACUUGGUUGCGUCUUCCCUGAGUUGCUCGCCCGCAACGGCGUCAAGUUUGGCGAGGCCGUUUGGUUCAAGGCCGGCUCCCAGAUCUUUAGUGAGGGUGGUCUCGACUACCUCGGCAACCCCAGCCUUGUGCACGCGCAAAGCAUCCUAGCUAUUUGGGCAUGCCAAGUCGUGCUCAUGGGUGCUGUCGAGGGGUACCGGGUUGCCGGCGGCCCACUUGGCGAGAUCGUCGACCCACUAUAUCCAGGAGGCAGCUUUGACCCUCUCGGCCUAGCCGAUGACCCCGAGGCAUUCGCCGAGCUCAAGGUGAAGGAGAUCAAGAACGGUCGCCUCGCCAUGUUCUCAAUGUUCGGCUUCUUUGUCCAAGCUAUCGUCACGGGCAAGGGACCACUUGAGAACCUCGCUGACCACAUCGCUGACCCCGUCAACAACAACGCCUGGGCAUUCGCCACCAACUUUGUCCCCGGCAAGUAAGAUGUCUUGGAGAUUGUUCACGCCACAAAGCGUGUUUGUUGUGCAGUCUGAGUUGUACUACCAUGAUGUAAAUUAUGAGAAUUUGUGCAAAAGCAAUGCAAGAUUUUUCUUGCUUGAAUGUCAUGACUUGCAUCGAUCUGAUCGUUGUGAUCACAAUCCACGAGAACAGAUAAAUAUUCCUGCUCGCGCUUAGUUAUCCAUUAUCAUUAUGUGCUCAGAUCAGCGACGCCUCAUAUGAUUGUGUAGGCUUGUCCGCUGGUGAAUUUGCGGGGUCAAUUCAGAGCAAAGGAAACGCUAAUAUAAAUUUUCAUAGAAGCUUCCGUCAAUACAACAAUCAGGACUAAUCUCAAUUCAAUUGCAAGGGGCAUGGUUUUCUUUCAUUUCUUAAUUUUCAACAAAAGUAGUGUGGCCAAUUAUACUGCAUUAGUGAUUUUUCAUAUCUCCCUCCCAGCCCAACCAAGUGGUAUGGCUUACUAGUGUGGUCUAAAGUGAGAAGGCAAUGUAAGGGUCGGGAAAUAGUCAAUUAUUCAAGGAUUGGGGUGCGAGAGGCGGUCGCCGCCGCUGAUAUUGUGGUGGAUGGCAAAGACUUGGAGGCGGAGAUGGGUGGGCGUCCACCUAUAGAUCAACACAUUUCUCUAUUGUGUCAUUUUUAUUAUAAAUCAAUUGAAAAAUUAUUGAUAUUCUUGUUAAAGCAGAGUAGAUAGAAUUAAAACAUACUUUUAUGCAAGAUAGCUAUUAAAAUAUUUUCAACAAAUAAACAAUUCACAAUAUAAUUGUUGUGCAUGAUCAUCACCCAAAGAACAUAGGGUGACCUGUGAAUCAACGACGUUAGAGAGCUGGGGAGCACGUGCUAAGAUUUUCUUUCUCGAGAGCUUCGACAUAUAUUUGUUCGUCAGGUUCCUGUCUAAUUUAAGAGCUAAAGAUAUAAAAAUCAAGCAUACAUAAUUAUAAGUGAAAAUUAUAAGCACGUAAAUGAAUUUGACUCAACAUUGAUGUUUUGAUGUACGUGAAUAUAUAUUGCAAUAUAGUGAAAUAAUUAUAUUAUGUGCGAUCAUACAUGCAAUUUAUAUAGUCAUCCAGGCUUGAAUAAAAACAAAGCUAUAAAAGUGUACAUUAUCCAUAAAUUUAAGGAAAUAACAACUUAAACUGCACUUGGGGGCUUAUGCACCCGACUGAGAAGUAAAUUUGAAAAACAUGAAAAUUAUCAUGCUGAAAAACAUUUGUGGAAGUCUGAAAAACCAUUACAAAAACGAUGUUCCAAAAAGGGCACUUUUUAAAGCACUUUGGAACACUGAUUUUUUUUCAGACCUCCACAGAUGUUUUUCCAUCACGAAACUUAUUUGCAUGUUAGUAAAACAUUCAAGAAUGCUCAUCACAAAAAAAUAAGUUUUAAAUUUGUUUACUAUUCUUUUCAAAAUUCAAUUUUCGCCUGGUGCAUAUGCACCCAGGAGCAGAGCGAACACCUCCGCUUAUUCUAACAUUUCUUUCAUGUAGAAGUAAUCGUAUCCAUCACUUUUUCCCCAAUUGAUUUACUACAAAUGGUGGAACAUUUUUUAAGGUUAAAUAAAUAGUCUUGUUUUUUUGUUACCAAACAGAACUUGUUUUAUUUCAGUAGCAUAAUGAGUCUCUACUUUAUUUACACUGAAAUAUAGAAUAUUCAAAUGUAAAUUGGAAUAAAUUUAUUUAUUUUUCAGAUGAAUGGUAAAUUAAGUUGGACCUACAUUUUUCAUUAUGUUAAAAAUGGAUAUAUCUAGCUUUAUAUGUGGAAUUUGGCGCAAUAAUGUGAUUUUCUAGAUGCAAUAAUGUGAUCUUUUACCACGAGCAGAUGUUACAUCCUAUUUUGAUUUUCUGAAAUCUAAAAGAUACGUGAGCGCAACAGCUCGCCGGAGUACGCGUGGUGCGACGCCUCGCGAUGCUUUAUGGUGCAUGCGAACGUCUCACUCACACACUUGACCGAAUCAGCUGUCUCCAACGAAAUCCAGUCACAGCCACUCCUGGCCACAAGUUCACAGCAAUACUCAUUUCUCCUGGCUCUCGCUGCGCCAAGUUUUGUGACAGCAAGAGAUCUAUGCGGCACCAAUGGCAGCAAAGCUCAAGAUUUUUCUCUCUAUCCUUGUUUAUCUGGUCAGAUUGCACACCAAAUGGAUUCCCUAUGACACCUCCUGCUGCCUUAAGUAGCCACCUCCCCCUCUUCUAUCAAAUCAUCUCCAUACUCACUCAUCUCUUUGAGAACCCAUACAGUUGACACUCAUCUUAGCUUUCCAAUGGCGGCAGCCACCAUGUCCCUCUCCUCCUCGACCUUUGCCGGCAAGGUGGUGACGAACGUUCCAUCUUUGGCUCUCUUUGGCGAGGCCCGAGUCACCAUGCGCAAGACCGCAACGAAGGUGAAGCAGGUUUCUUCUGGCAGCCCAUGGUACGGUGCUGACCGUGUGCUCUACCUCGGCCCACUCUCCGGUGAGCCCCCGAGCUACCUGACAGGUGAGUUCCCAGGUGACUAUGGGUGGGACACAGCCGGACUUUCGGCUGACCCCGAGACCUUCUCCAAGAACCGGGAGUUGGAGGUGAUCCACUGUCGUUGGGCCAUGCUUGGGGCACUUGGUUGCGUCUUCCCUGAGUUGCUCGCCCGCAACGGCGUCAAGUUCGGCGAGGCUGUUUGGUUCAAGGCCGGCUCCCAGAUCUUUAGUGAGGGUGGUCUCGACUACCUCGGCAACCCUAGCCUUGUGCACGCGCAAAGCAUCCUAGCUAUUUGGGCAUGCCAGGUCGUGCUCAUGGGUGCCGUUGAAGGGUACCGCGUCGCCGGUGGCCCACUCGGCGAGAUCGUCGACCCACUAUACCCAGGAGGCAGCUUCGACCCUCUCGGCCUAGCCGACGACCCCGAGGCAUUUGCUGAGCUCAAGGUGAAGGAGAUCAAGAACGGCCGCCUCGCCAUGUUCUCAAUGUUCGGCUUCUUUGUCCAAGCUAUCGUCACGGGCAAGGGCCCACUUGAGAACCUCGCUGACCACAUUGCUGACCCCGUCAACAAUAACGCAUGGGCAUUCGCCACCAACUUUGUCCCCGGCAAGUAAGAUGUCUUGAAGAUUGUGCACGCCCCAAAGCGUAUUGGUGUGCAAUCUGAGUUGUACUACCAUGAUGUAAAUUACGAGAAUUUUGUGCAAAAGCAAUGCAAGAUUUUUCCGUCUUGAAUGUUGUGAUUUGCAUCGAAAUGAUCAUCGUGCUUGCAAUCCACGAGAACAGGUAAAUAUUUC
This 37795-nucleotide long non-coding RNA is filed under the name Triticum aestivum (bread wheat). RNAcentral's name for it is "long non-coding RNA (TAES_LNC009884)". Lineage: Eukaryota; Viridiplantae; Streptophyta; Magnoliopsida; Poales; Poaceae. The record is from RNAcentral.